This 442-nucleotide ribosomal RNA is filed under the name uncultured bacterium. Its description in RNAcentral is "bacterial SSU rRNA". It matches the Rfam family "Bacterial small subunit ribosomal RNA", at positions 338 to 795 of the family's 1533-position model. The record is from RNAcentral.
CCUACGGGUGGCAGCAGUGGGGAAUUUUCCGCAAUGGGCGAAAGCCUGACGGAGCAACGCCGCGUGAGGGAUGAAGGCCUCUGGGCUGUAAACCUCUUUUAUCAAGGAAGAAGAUCUGACGGUACUUGAUGAAUAAGCCACGGCUAAUUCCGUGCCAGCAGCCGCGGUAAUACGGGAGUGGCAAGCGUUAUCCGGAAUUAUUGGGCGUAAAGCGUCCGCAGGCGGUCUUGUAAGUCUGUCGUUAAAGCGUGGAGCUUAACUCCAUUUGAGCGAUGGAAACUGCAAGACUAGAGUGUGGUAGGGGCAGAGGGAAUUCCCGGUGUAGCGGUGAAAUGCGUAGAUAUCGGGAAGAACACCAGUGGCGAAGGCGCUCUGCUGGGCCAUAACUGACGCUCAUGGACGAAAGCCAGGGGAGCGAAAGGGAUUAGAUACCCUUGUAGUC